This 357-nucleotide ribosomal RNA is filed under the name Myurella affinis. Its description in RNAcentral is "partial 12S ribosomal RNA". The record is from RNAcentral. Lineage: Eukaryota; Metazoa; Mollusca; Gastropoda; Neogastropoda; Terebridae.
UUACCGGAGUACUAUGAAUAUCUAAACAUUUAAAACUUAAAGAACUUGGCGGUGUUUUAGACCACUUAGGGGAACCUGUCUCGUAAUCGACAAUCCGCGUUAAACCUGACCUUUUCUUGUUAUCAGUUUGUAUACCGUUGUCGUCAGGUAACUUUUUAGAAAUUAGAAGUUAGCGAUAAAAGCAAUUUAAUGACUUAGGACGUCAAAUCAAGGUGCAGCUAACGAAAAGGGGAGGAUGGGUUACAAUUAUUUGAUUUAUAAUAACGGACGAACAACAUGAAUAUGUUUCAAAUUAUAAGGUGGACUUGAAAGUAAAUUAGAUUAUAUAGAUAGUUUGAAUAAGGCUCUGAAACGUGU